Molecule: ribosomal RNA, 499 nt
Filed under: uncultured bacterium
Lineage: Bacteria
Description: bacterial SSU rRNA
Rfam family: Bacterial small subunit ribosomal RNA
Source: RNAcentral
UGGCUCAGGAUGAACGCUAGCUACAGGCUUAACACAUGCAAGUCGAGGGGCAGCAGGGAUUUAGCUUGCUAAAUUCGCUGGCGACCGGCGCACGGGUGCGUAACGCGUAUCCUAACUUUCCCGUUACUCUCGGAUAGCCUUCCGAAAGGGAGAUUAAUACGAGAUGGUGUUCAGUUUCCGCAUGUUUGCUGAACUAAAGAUUCAUCGGUAACGGAUAGGGAUGCGUGACAUUAGGUAGAUGGCGGGGUAACGGCCCACCAUGCCUACGAUGUCUAGGGGUUCUGAGAGGAAGGUCCCCCACACUGGAACUGAGACACGGUCCAGACUCCUACGGGAGGCAGCAGUGAGGAAUAUUGGUCAAUGGCCGGAAGGCUGAACCAGCCAAGUAGCGUGAAGGAUGAAGGUUCUAUGGAUUGUAAACUUCUUUUAUACGGGAAUAAAACCACCUACGUGUAGGUGCUUGUAUGUACCGUAUGAAUAAGCAUCGGCUAACUCCGUG